AACAAAUAAUAGAAAUUUUUAAAGAAACAUUAAAAAGAACACAAAUGUCAUUCAAAUACAUCUCAAUUCAAUCUUAAUUUAAUUCUAAUUAAAAUCCUAUAGAACUUCAUUCAAACUUUAAACCAAACUAAUUGAAUCUUAAAACCUAAUAAAAUCCUAAAUCCUAAAUCAAACCCUAACCAAAUCCUAAAACUUAAAUCAAAUCCUAACCAAAUCCUAAAACUUAAAUCAAAUCCUAACCAAAUCCUAAACCAAAUCCUAAUCCAAAUCCUAAAUCCUAAACCAAACCCUAACCAAAUCCUAAACCAAACCCUAACCAAAUCCUAAACCAAACUCUAAUCCAAACCCUAAAUCAAAUCCUAAUCCAAAUCCUAAUUCAAAUCCUAAAUCCUAAACCAAAUCCUAACCAAAUCUUCAACCCUAAAUCAAAUCCUAUCCAAAUCCUAAACCCUAAAUCAAAUCCUAAUCCAAACCCUAAAUCCUAAACCAAACCCUAAUUCAAAUCCUAAACCCUAAACCAAAUCCUAAUCCAAAUCCUAAAUCCUAAACCAAACCCUAAUCCAAAUCCUAAACCCCAAACCAAAUCCUAACCAAACCCUAAACCAAAUCUUAAUAAUUCCUAUAACAGAUUUAAACCUCAAUAACUAAUGAAUAAACCGUCGAUCUUAACUCAAUUUUUACAAAAUUUUAAAAAAUAUAAGUGAA
This 705-nucleotide long non-coding RNA is filed under the name Physcomitrium patens. RNAcentral describes it as "long non-coding RNA (PPAT_LNC001415)". Lineage: Eukaryota; Viridiplantae; Streptophyta; Bryopsida; Funariales; Funariaceae. The record is from RNAcentral.